Molecule: long non-coding RNA, 745 nt
Filed under: Anas platyrhynchos (mallard)
Lineage: Eukaryota; Metazoa; Chordata; Aves; Anseriformes; Anatidae
Description: lncRNA (ENSAPLG00020007251.1)
Source: RNAcentral
GAGGAGCGCUUGUCUGUGCCUUCUGAGGCUAAGAGCCAUUAUGAAAUGACCUGUAGGAGUCUUUUUACUGAAUUUAUGGAACUUCAGAAGCUUGUGUCCAUCAUCCAGACCUCCAAAGAGAGUCUGAGAAAAAUGGAUGUUGAAGAUUUGCUGGAAACGCCCCUGCAGAAGAAGGAAAAACAGAGGGCACCCCUGUGGCCCAGCAUCAUCUGCGAGCUGCAGGCUGGGGUGAGGCUGCGCAAGGCCACCUGAGCGACUGCAGUGCCCUGCCCCGCUCAAAGAGCGUGCCUGCUCCCCCUAUGAACGACUUCUGGAUGACAUUCAGCACAGGAGGUACAACCUUCGGAAGGUGAUCGUCGAGCAAAAACGCAGGACCCCCAGUGAUGAUGUAGCUGCUCCCAAGCCUCAUCUGAAACCUGUGCUGCAGAGGAAGCUGAGAGAGUGCGUGCCACAGGAGUCCAGGUGGCACCAACAGCUCCUGGCAGAAACAAAGCGACCCCAGAUGCCGCAGCCAUCCACAGCAAGGGAAAGCGGGGGCAGGCCCACAGAAAUGCCUGUGAUGCCUAAAAUCGCCUUGAGAUCUCCAAGUGAUCGUUUCUUAACAUUUCAAGAUGCCAGUCCAGAGUUUAAAACUGUCAGUGCUAUAGCACAGGCAGCUGGGACCAGAAGUUCAGGUAAGGCUUUAAAUGAAGGGACUGGAGAGGUGUAAAUAGUCUGGUCUGGGCUUUGGAUCUGUACACACACA